RNAcentral lists this ribosomal RNA (254 nucleotides) under uncultured bacterium. RNAcentral describes it as "partial 16S ribosomal RNA". It matches the Rfam family "Bacterial small subunit ribosomal RNA", at positions 524 to 776 of the family's 1533-position model. The record is from RNAcentral.
UACAGGGGGGUGCGAGCGUUAAUCGGAAUUACUGGGCGUAAAGCGCACGUAGGUGGCGACGUAAGUCGGGUGUGAAAGCCCCGGGCUCAACCUGGGAAUUGCAUUCGAGACUGCAUUGCUGGAGUACGGAAGAGGAAGGCGGAAUUCCCGGUGUAGCGGUGAAAUGCGUAGAUAUCGGGAGGAACAUCAGUGGCGAAGGCGGCCUUCUGGUCCAGUACUGACACUCAAGUGCGAAAGCGUGGGGAGCAAACAGG